Molecule: long non-coding RNA, 606 nt
Organism: Callorhinchus milii (elephant shark)
Lineage: Eukaryota; Metazoa; Chordata; Chondrichthyes; Chimaeriformes; Callorhinchidae
Exons: 3
Source: RefSeq, a predicted model, not a curated record
CAUUCGAAGGAUUGCACCUCUGACAAUAAAACACUCCCCCAAUACUACACAGGAAUGCCAUCUUAAAACAAUGGGCAACAAGUCCCAAUUUGGAACUUAAAUCCACUGCGUUCUGACCAAGGGAGUGCUGCCAACUGAACCAGACUGCCGUCACCUCAAACCAAUUCAAACUAAAAAGUCUGUGGAGAACAAGUGAGCUGGAGAGACGUGAACAGAAUAUUCUGUGAAGCACUUUUGAGUUCUUACGAGCUCAACAUUGCAGAUCUGAAGACUAUUCUUGAUGGUGUUUGGAAAGCUGAGCGGUUGGUGGAGAACGAGUGAGUCGGAGAGAAAGAGAGUGAGAGAGAGAAGCUGGGGGAAUGACAAGCACAGGUGCAUUCAAGGAAUGGACCAUAGAGAAACAACACUCAAAGGAAACCAGAGCAUUGCAAAGAGGAGUCUGCUUUAACCUUGGCAGAGUUGCCACACCCUACCAGAUGGGCAAAGGCGCAGAGAGAAGGGGAGGCCAACAGGCAAACAGAUGGUCCUUCGGAUCUGACAACCCGAGUCUGUCCAGAAAUCCCCUAAUGAGUGGCGCUAUGGCUUUAAGAGGGCUUACAUAUGCUA